GAGGGCGGGGCCGCGCCUCCGGCGGUCUCCAGGGAGAACGCUCCCUACACCAGGUUUUUCCAGCCGCCCUCCCUGGAAGCAGCCGCGGCUUCACUCGGCGUUCCUGAGAUCCUGCCACGCCUUUGUUCCACUCCAGCAGCCUUUACCCCCCACCACCACCACCUUGUUUUCCUGCCUAGAAUACCUCUGCACCUCUGGAGCGCCUCAUCUCCAGUCAAUACAAGGAUGUCUUUUUGCGGUCCCUAGGAACGGAGUGGCUCUUGUAGCAAUCUAAAGGAGCCUAGGUCCCACAUCCUCCAGGGUUCUCUAUUUAGUCAAACAUCCCCCGGACUUGCUCUGCAGACACAACUCCCCCCACUCCCCACCUUUUUUUUUUACAGACACAGACAAUGUCUCCUAGAUGGAUUUAUUUUCUGUCUGGGGUUGUGAAACUGAGGCUGUACUAAACUUUGAAAACCAUUUCCUCAGCGUAAAAAUCUGGGCCCAAAAUUAGAAGUGAAACUUUUGCGCUCACACAACCUUCCCCUGCCCAGCAGAGCACUUACAUUCAGUCUGCUCUCCUUAGAACUAAGCAAAUUCUACAUCUCAUCAAAACAAGGCUGUGCUGAGGAGUUUAAACUGGGAAGCCAGCCUACCAGCCAGCGGCACAAGGAGGCCUGCCUCUGUCAGAAUCAAAACGUGGGGGUGAAGAAGACUCAAAAGGAACUACAACCAUUGUAAUGGUUUUGCUUCACAAGUUAACACAUUUUCCUCCAGACUACAGCUUCUUGAACAUAUACUUAGCAAUAAUAAGCCCUGUUAUUUGCUGAUUCCAAGGUAUAUACUGACAAUGUCUUGUGAAGCCCUGUCUGUCCUGUAAUUACUGUGUGGCUGAGGCUGGCCUUGAACGUACAGUCUUCUAAGAUCUAGGAUUUUAAGUAUUCAUCACUACUCCCAGUCUACUUCCUGUUGCCUUCUGAUCAAGAUGCAGCCAGCACCAUGUCUGCCUGCCUGCUGCCAUGCACCCCAUCACGAUGAUACAAGACUGAACCUCAGAAACUCAGUGCUUCUGGAAGAACUCCACCCUACAGAGAGCAGAUUAGAAAAAGUUCAGCUUCCAUACUGAAG
Molecule: non-coding RNA, 1107 nt
Organism: Peromyscus maniculatus bairdii (prairie deer mouse)
Lineage: Eukaryota; Metazoa; Chordata; Mammalia; Rodentia; Cricetidae
Source: RefSeq, a predicted model, not a curated record